UUAACUUAAAUUUGUAUGGAGUUGGAACGUUUGCCUACGUUUGCCGCUAGGGGCGCUGUUCCAACUCCAUACAAAUUUGACAUA
RNAcentral lists this microRNA precursor (84 nucleotides) under Bombyx mori (domestic silkworm). Its description in RNAcentral is "mir-2807 microRNA precursor family". It matches the Rfam family "mir-2807 microRNA precursor family". The record is from Rfam by way of RNAcentral. Lineage: Eukaryota; Metazoa; Arthropoda; Insecta; Lepidoptera; Bombycidae.